GGCUUUAGUCACUGCGAAAUUAUUAGAAAAUGGUGGUAGCAAGCUAUUUUCACGAGUUAAUGGAUUCCACGCACGAGUGCGGAAAAUGGUAGCUUCACGUGCCCGAACAUUUCCCUGUUAGGUGUGCCCCAGCAAAAUAGAGCACCAUUCCAUCUCUACAGCGUGUUAUGAUAUCGCCUCCUUUACUCAUAGGAGACCCAGAAUUUUCAGCUGCUGAACAUGUUCAGGUGGGAGAGGUGGGGGAGACCAAUCAGAUCCCAUAGUCUCACCAUCAACAUCCUCAACGACAUAUUCUUUUGUUAGCAUCCUUUUUGCAAGUAUAUGAUAGUCCGUUGCCAAAUUCGCUGUCCAACCAUAGUAGCUACUAGAACACUAUAGAAUAUGCCAAUCACUGUAAAGAGUACAAGCACAAUCACAGCCAUUAUAAAUAAAAAUGGUAGCCCUGCUUCACCAGCACCUCCCAAGCA
RNAcentral lists this unclassified non-coding RNA (467 nucleotides) under Hevea brasiliensis (rubber tree). The record is from RNAcentral. Lineage: Eukaryota; Viridiplantae; Streptophyta; Magnoliopsida; Malpighiales; Euphorbiaceae.